Molecule: transfer RNA, 76 nt
Filed under: Clostridiales bacterium
Lineage: Bacteria; Bacillati; Bacillota; Clostridia; Eubacteriales
Description: tRNA-Lys
Rfam family: tRNA
About the family: Transfer RNA (tRNA) molecules are approximately 80 nucleotides in length. Their secondary structure includes four short double-helical elements and three loops (D, anti-codon, and T loops). Further hydrogen bonds mediate the characteristic L-shaped molecular structure. tRNAs have two regions of fundamental functional importance: the anti-codon, which is responsible for specific mRNA codon recognition, and the 3' end, to which the tRNAs corresponding amino acid is attached (by aminoacyl-tRNA synthetases). tRNAs cope with the degeneracy of the genetic code in two manners: having more than one tRNA (with a specific anti-codon) for a particular amino acid; and 'wobble' base-pairing, i.e. permitting non-standard base-pairing at the 3rd anti-codon position.
Source: RNAcentral
GCACCUUUAUCUCAGUUGGUAGAGCACCUGACUCUUAAUAAGGGCGUCUAGGGUUCGAGUCCCUGAAGGUGUACCA